AAAGGGGCUCUGAGAGAGCCAGAGAGGGACUAGAGACAAGGGCCUGGAUUGCCAGGACAACAGGGAAUGGCUUCCCACUGCCAGAGGGCAGGGUUAGAUGGGAUA
Long non-coding RNA from Chiroxiphia lanceolata (lance-tailed manakin), 105 nucleotides. RefSeq lists it as uncharacterized. The transcript has 4 exons. NCBI's taxonomy places the organism in Eukaryota, Metazoa, Chordata, Aves, Passeriformes, Pipridae. The record is from RefSeq and is a predicted model, not a curated record.